This 253-nucleotide ribosomal RNA is filed under the name uncultured Helicobacteraceae bacterium. RNAcentral's name for it is "partial 16S ribosomal RNA". It matches the Rfam family "Bacterial small subunit ribosomal RNA", at positions 524 to 776 of the family's 1533-position model. The record is from RNAcentral. Lineage: Bacteria; Pseudomonadati; Campylobacterota; Epsilonproteobacteria; Campylobacterales; Helicobacteraceae.
UACGUAGGGUGCAAGCGUUACUCGGAAUCACUGGGCGUAAAGAGCGCGUAGGCGGGAUAGCAAGUCAGAUGUGAAAUCCUAUGGCUUAACCAUAGAACUGCAUUUGAAACUGUUAUUCUAGAGUAUGGGAGAGGUAGGUGGAAUUCUUGGUGUAGGGGUAAAAUCCGUAGAGAUCAAGAGGAACACCGGUGGCGAAGGCGGCCUGCUGGACGGCGACUGACGUUGAGGCUCGAAAGCGUGGGGAGCGAACAGG